ACUUCAAAUUCUAGAAUCUUUGGAGCCAUAUUGUGAGAUAAUUAAAUGAUUGACAGCAACGCUAGUCAGGCCAGCAGGGAUUAUAAUGCAAUUACCACCAUAAUGUCAAUAAAGGUAUCAGGGUCAUCUAUGGGGUGCUUUUCAGGGUGAUUGCUAUUUGAAGAAGAGCUGGUUCUGUCCUGUCUGUGCUCUUUGGAGGCAGAGUUCUUGGAAUUCCUCCGUAGUCCUAUCUGAUGACAUGCUAACCUCAUACUUCUUAGUUACAGCAAAGCUGCUCCACACUCAGCUGCCUGAUGUGCUUCAUUUCAUGUCUCAGGCAUUGCUGGGAUGUUAUUGAUACUCACUUGUAGGAAAAGAAUUUUUUAAACAUGAAUAAAAAAUUUGGAGGGACUGCUAGGCAGGGAUUUGAUUUCUUGUGUGCCCU
Molecule: long non-coding RNA, 424 nt
Filed under: Bos taurus (domestic cattle)
Lineage: Eukaryota; Metazoa; Chordata; Mammalia; Artiodactyla; Bovidae
Description: long non-coding RNA NONBTAT016046
Source: RNAcentral